This 67-nucleotide transfer RNA is filed under the name Caridina gracilipes. RNAcentral's name for it is "tRNA-Ile". Lineage: Eukaryota; Metazoa; Arthropoda; Malacostraca; Decapoda; Atyidae. The record is from RNAcentral.
AAUAGUGUGCUUGAUCAAAAAGGCCGUCUUGAUAGGGCGGAACAUGCGAGCCUGCUCGCCACUAUUA